CCGCCGAAAAUCUCCCACCGGCGGCGGUCGUCCUCCAAUACGACCAAAAAUUUUACCAUAUAAUCUCCACCACCUCCUCUUUCCAUAUCUUCAAACCAAAUCCUUCAGAAAACUCUCAAGCUCCUGGAAUCUUAGAUCUAAGAAACUUUCCCGUCACUUUUUCGCUCAAGUUAUUGAAGUUCCUGCUACUACCACCCUACAAUACAUACAUCAACGGAUAGGUCUCCUCAAGAACUAGCUAUUGAGGUCAAUUCUAGCUCAAAAAUCCGGCGACCAAAAUCUGGGCAAAUUCCGGCGAUCUCCCUGAACAUCCUUCUUGGCACACUACCAUUUUUACGACCAUUUGAAUUAUAAAAUGGUAAAAUACUUUAUUUUUCGUGGCUAAUUUUUUAUUUUUUAUUUUUUAUUUUUGUUUAUUAUUUAUUUUAGCAUUAUUUUUUGAAGUUUCAAAUAUUAAAUUUUCUAUUUAUAGAUUAUAAUCUGUAUAGUCGAUUGAAUAUAUGUCGUCAAUUAGGUCUUCAGGUUCGAAUAAUAGAACAUCAUGAAUAUAUAUAUAUAUAUAUAAAUAUNNNNNNNNNNNNNNNNNNNNNNNNNNNNNNNNNNNNNNNNNNNNNNNNNNNNNNNNNNNNNNNNNNNNNNUAUAUAUAUAUAUAUAUAUAUAUGUACACACAUUUUAUCUCUGCGUUAAUUGUGUGUUUUAAACCUGUUAAAUGCUUGAACGUCUAGUUGAUAUUCAGUUUUACUCGUAUUUUCAAUUCCUUUUGUUUGCAUGUCUAAUUAAACUGCCUUGAAUUGUUGUUUGAAUUUGAUUAAGAAUUGGUUAUAGUUAUUAUAUUUUGGUUAAUUGAUUUAGGUGAAUUGGUUAUAGCUGAUAGGGGUAGAGUAGUAAUUUUCAGUAAUCUCAGAGGCAUUUUUGAAAUAUAAAAGUUAGAUUUUAUUUAAUUUAAGUGUUAUGUCCACUAGAUUAAAUUACUCUUAGAAUAAUAUAGUGGGGACUGUGGGACCCGUGUUGACUAUUUUUUACUUAUUAAAAUCAAAAAUAUUAUAGGCAAUAAUAAAAGGUUAAAAAGUCACAUAGUAGAAGAAUAUUGGGCUGAAAAAGUAGAAAAGGGUAAAAGGGUUAGUAAUAAUAGUUUAAAAGUAAAAGUUAAUAUGUAAAAGAAUAUAGGAAAGAGUCUUGCUUUGGGUAUAUAAUAGGACUCAUUUAACACUUAAAAGGAAACUGGAUGGAGGGAGAGAGAGAAAUAUUUUUAGUACUAGAGGAAAGAAAGAAAAAAGACUUUUGAAUCUUAAUGAUUUUUUAGUGUUUGAAAGUUAGAAAUAAAAAAAUAUAUGUUCUUCUUCACUGUUAACAAUUGGCAUUAACUGUUAUUGUUCAUUAAAGCUUCAAGCUUCUUUUUCUUAAGUGAUAAAAAUUAGAAGUCAUUUUUUGGCAACUGGGUACUUCUUUGUUGGUCUGGUUCGUUGUCUAUUAUUACUGGUAUUCAAGUAUAGUUACUUGGGUACAUUCUUGGUUGGUUUUACAAUCCAGAAGUUCUUGGUUUUCUUGCUUGGUUGCAAUCUCCUGUGUUUUCUGCUAUUCCCGCUGUUACUGGGUUACUCAUGUGUUGUUGAACUGUUGUUGUUGUGCGUGUGCUGCUAUUGCUUCCUACUGAUCUUCAUCUUCUUUGUAUUCCAAUACCAGGUACACCACUUUGAAUCACUUUGAUGUAGGCCUUGAAGAUGAAAUAAAAUGAUAGAAAUUUAUGUACUUAGUUAUAGUACAUUUGAAUUUUAGUUAAAUAUUAAUUAUAUAUUUUCCUACUAUACGGAUGAUAGAUGUAGUCAAUACGGUAUUCAGAGAAACAUAUUUGGUUAAUAAUAGAAUCAGUAGAUUUGACGUAUUUGAAGUAUGAUUCNNNNNNNNNNNNNNNNNNNNNNNNNNNNNNNNNNNNNNNNNNNNNNNNNNNNNNNNNNNNNNNNNNNNNUAGCAAGGCUAGGAACAUUAAUCCAUAGACGCGAAUUUGAGAAAUAUGAGUUGACAUUUAAGUUUAAUAAUUUUUUAUGCUUUAGUAAUUAUGGCUAAAGCUAGUUGCAAAUACCAGUGAAUAAUUAAUCUCAAUAGUUUUACGUAACAAUGUGAGUCUUAAUCUAGCUAUAAUUGAUUUCUUUUGAAUAUUUUGUCAAAUUUCGUAGUGUAUUCAUAAUUUCGAAUUUAUUUUAUUUAUAAUUUCGAAUUUCUCUUUUAUUUUAAUUUCCUUUCCGCUAAUAUUUGUCUUUAUCUAGAAAUUAAUGUGUUACAUUUUAAUCUUGCGAUUAAUUAAAUUUUUUCUCUUUUAUUAUAAAGACGGACAAAAAUAGAAGAAUGUAGCCGCUUUAGGAUUACCCUUGAAAAGUGAGGCGUGCCUCGCCAAAUAAAAAUACGUAAAAUGCGGGGCCCUCAGUAAAAGUUUUAAAAUAUUUAAAAAAAUUAGGAAGGGUCGUUUAGCGAAUUUCACGACCCUCCCAAAAGAUUAUAACGCGCUAGACUCUAUUAGGCGCGACUUUAAUAAAUUACAUUCCUAAAUAAGGGUGGGCAUUUUAUGCGGCUCAAAUCCAAAUCCUAAAACGUUCGAUAGAGUUUGCCUAGGAUUGCGGGCUCCGGCGGUGCAAUCCAAAAGCACACUUUAAAUGACGUUCACUUUCUCAAAUAAAUAUAUAUUAAAUAAAAGCGGUAAAAAGUAAAAUUGGCACAUAUGUUCUUCAUGUAAUAAAAUCGGAUUAAUAAGUUAAAUAUGAAAGUUGAGCGACCGUGCUAGAACCACGGAACUCGGGAAUGCCUAACACCUUCUCUUGGGUUAACAGAAUUCCUUAUCGGAUUUCUGGUACGCGAACUGUUAAACAGAGUCAUUCUUUUCCUCGAUUCGGGAUUUAACUGGUGACUUGGGAAACCAUAAAUUUCCCAAGUGGCGACUGUGAAUAUCUAAUAAAUAAUAUCGUUUCGACAUUCCUUUAAUUGGAAAAACUCCCCUUCACCCCUCGCGGGGCGGAAAAACGAGGUGUGACAAAUGUUACCUUGUAAAAUUGGGAGAUGCCAUCCAGCAAGGAGCACUUUGCCAUCAAGACCCUUCAAGCAUGUGACAAUCUGCUCAGCACUACCCCUGUUGAGCCUGGUUCAUCUUCUAAGACCCCUGUGAACAGAAAAGUCAGGUCCUUAGUUCAGGAGGUUGGAUUGAAGGAUGCUGAAAUAGAAAGGCUUAAUGAUAGGGUGGCAGAAUUGGAGGAAGAAAGGAAUGGGCUUAGAGCUGAUCUUUCCAAAGAAAAAGAGAAAAUGAAGGUAUGUUACAACAAAUGCAAAACAUGCUGAAACCCCAACCCUCCAGCUCUUCUAAGCCUUAGGUGUCCAGUGCUCAGUGUCCAGUCUAGUUUUCCCUUCGGUGUCAAGAUUAUGUGGUUCUUGGUGCGUUUUUCUUUUUGCUCAUGGUUGGAAGUUUUAUUUUUCUUUUUGUGGACUGCAUCGUAGGAACAUCUCUGUGAUCAAUGAAUGAAGUUUUUUUGGUUCAUGUUAAUCUUGUUCUUAAUAGCUAUUUCUGAGUUGAUUUUUGAUUAACUUGAACAUGUGUUCACUUGCAGUUGCCCCAUGGGCCAUGAGUACAAAUUAACUUCAAGGAUUCACAUUAUUUAUGCAACUUUUCGAUGAUGCCAAACGGGGGAAGAUAUUGUGCUUAAAAUUUUUCUCUGAACUAGUGAUGUUUAUGACCUAAAUCUGACCUCUUUAAUGAUAAGUUAAAUCAUUUUCUAAGUGUUGAUUUCAGCCAAGUUUACAGGUUCCCUGAUCACAAUAAGCACAGAGUUUGUCAUCAUCAAAAAGGUGGAAAUUAUUGGCCCAAGUUUCAGUUGAGUUUUGAAGAUUGACAAAUGAACUGAUAGAAAGACCUGGUCCAUCUUGUACUACACAGUCUGAAUCAACCAGUUCACAUGGAGAGCACGUGAGGAAGAUAAUGCACCAAAGAUCACGCAUCAAUAUCUUCUGAACAUAAUCGAAAAGGUUACAUUUGGGAUAAGGAGGACAAUCUCCUUAUGUGAAGAAAACUUAAUCCUAAGUUAGCAUAAGAGUUGGAGUUUGUGUUGGCUAAGGACUCGAAUUGUGUACGAAUGAGAAGUGGAGUCUUAAUCAAACUCUAACUACUGACUCAAUAUAUGAUUGCGUUAGUUCUCUUUUACAGGUAAUAAACACAAGCAUAAGUAAAGCAUAUUUGAGAGCAAAAAGAGCGAGUCUGAUUUGCAAGAAAUAUAUGCAAGUUACA
This 4265-nucleotide long non-coding RNA is filed under the name Nicotiana benthamiana. Its description in RNAcentral is "long non-coding RNA (NBEN_LNC034821)". Lineage: Eukaryota; Viridiplantae; Streptophyta; Magnoliopsida; Solanales; Solanaceae. The record is from RNAcentral.